Molecule: long non-coding RNA, 492 nt
Organism: Sinocyclocheilus rhinocerous
Lineage: Eukaryota; Metazoa; Chordata; Actinopteri; Cypriniformes; Cyprinidae
Exons: 3
Source: RefSeq, a predicted model, not a curated record
GUAACCUACUUUUUUUGUUUUAAUUAAUGUCACAUUUAUUUUCCAUGGAAAACAUGGAUAGCAGUCAGCAACCAAAACACUCAUACACGCGGUACCAUAAACAGGAGUGUUUAUAGAGUAAGAUAAAAAUAAAUGCAAUCAUAAAAUGUACAAAUCUAAAAGUAGAUUACCCUGAUAGUGUUAUAGUGGCGGCAAUAAAGUACAUAAAAACAGAGGCCGCUUCCUGAUGUAUAGAUGUACAGAGCACAACAGUGACCAACCGCUUAAGGCCUUGGUUCUGGAAGUCUCUUCCCUAUUCAUUUUCCCACUUAAAAAAAAAUACAAACAUUGCAAUAAAGAAUAAUGAAAAAUAAUUGAACCAAAUAUUCCAUCUUAAAGAAAAAGGGGGGGAAAUAAUAAUAAAUGGAGCAAUUCCAAGCGGGCCCUUGCACCAUGGUAUGGUGCAUAUGGAAUGAACUUAUUGCUGAUUUGAAGAUAUAAAAUCGAUCAGCU